This 216-nucleotide ribosomal RNA is filed under the name Triticum aestivum (bread wheat). Its description in RNAcentral is "partial small subunit ribosomal RNA". Lineage: Eukaryota; Viridiplantae; Streptophyta; Magnoliopsida; Poales; Poaceae. The record is from RNAcentral.
AUGGAUAAUUGCAACUGCACUGUGUUCAACUGGAACGUGAGAGGAUUAAAUAAUCCGGCUAGGAGGAAGGUAGUUCAUGAUCUAGUACUACAGAACAGAGUUUCAAUAGUCUGUCUGCAAGAGACAAAGUUGGCACUGAUUGAUCGCCAGAUUGUCACGGAAACCUUGGGCGCAGCGUUCUGUGAUAACUUCAGAUUUUUGCCAGCCAAUGGAACU